Molecule: ribosomal RNA, 774 nt
Filed under: uncultured Neocallimastigales
Lineage: Eukaryota; Fungi; Neocallimastigomycota; Neocallimastigomycetes; Neocallimastigales
Description: partial large subunit ribosomal RNA
Rfam family: Eukaryotic large subunit ribosomal RNA
Source: RNAcentral
CGCAUCUGUGCAUGCAGCAUAUCAAUAAGCGGAGGAAAAGAAACUAACAAGGAUUCCCCUAGUAACGGCGAGUGAAGCGGGAAGAGCUCAAAUUUGAAAUCUUAAAGGGUUUCCCUUUACGAAUUGUAGUUUAAAGAAGUGUUUUCUGUUGAGGUUUUGGUAAAAGUUCUUUGGAAUAGGACAUCAUAGAGGGUGAGAAUCCCGUAUUUGACCUUUACUUUCAACUUUGUGAUACACUUUCAAAGAGUCGGAUUGUUUGGGAACGCAGUCCAAAAUGGGUGGUAAAUUUCAUCUAAAGCUAAAUAUUGGCGAGAGACCGAUAGCGAACAAGUACCGUGAGGGAAAGAUGAAAAGAACUUUGAAAAGAGAGUUAAACAGUACGUGAAAUUGUCAAAAGGGAAGCGUUUGACACCAGUGUUGUUUUUCUGAAAAUCAAUUAAAGAACUGUUUAUGCUAAGUUGUUUAGACUUUAUCAGCUAACUGUUUAGUUUUGAGCUUUUCUUUAAUGCACUUUUCAGUUAACAAGUCAACAUCAAUUUCUUUUGCUGUAAAAAAGCUUGAGGAAGGUGGCUUGAGAUUCGUCUUAAGUGUUUAUAGCCUCUUGCCUAUGCAGUCGGAGAGAUUGAGGUCUGCAGCGUAGAUCCUUCGGGGCUAAAUGCAUUUGUGCUAAGUUAUAACAUUUUAUAGACAACUUGUUGACUAUGAUUUGUCUUGUAGCUUACUCGCUUAUGUUAUUUUACCUACGCUUAGGAUGUUGAGCGCAUGUCUCUCUCU